CAUCAGCAGCAGUUUAUACAGUUUGGGUUAAUUUCAUGAUUCUAAUUUGGUGUAGAUAAGUUAAAGUGUGCAAAUUGUUCCGAAGCGGAACCAAUGUUUAAUGUGAUGUUUCAUUCCGGGACUUUUUAUGGUGACACGCAGCACUCUGUGUAAGGCAGCAUGCUUCUUUUUUGCUGUUAGUUGAUGGAGAGGUUUCGGUGAGGCAUUAAGGCUCGUGUAGCUGAUUACAAGAAGACGUUACACAGAGUUUUUUGUAUUAACCCUUCCAGGUUGAAGCGGCCAAUGAGGUACGCAUUUUUUUGUAUUUUAAUUUGUGUCUAAUAGUUGUUUAUUCUCUAAGUGAAUGUGUUUCUGUAAAUAUGUAUUUUGUGUUUGUACAGUUCUCACGGCAUAGUUAUUAAACGCCAGUAACAAAGAAGAACGCCUUGUGUCCGUUUUCUGCUUGGAGGGAGUUACAGUGAGAACUCAGUCUGCUCGACAUGAGGUGGCGAGAUGAGGAACUGUGCCUUUCAGUCGCUGAGCAGGGGAGGAUUCGUCGCACUCUAGCAUCACGCAGAUAAGAUUGUGCAACACCAGAAACUGAAGCAGCAAGCGCUUUCAAGUUUACAUUGAUGUUCCAACAAGUGAUACAUUUAAAAUAAGUUAAAUGUUAGGAAGUGGAUCAACUUUGUUUUAAGGAGACACUGCAAGUGUUAAAAUUAAGUAAUCUGGUGUUCUGCACAAUUCUGUUUAAGUUCAAGGUUUUAUCUAAGUUUUUGUAAACAAUCAUUUUACAUAUUUCUGUCAUUUAGAUGCUAAAAGUGUUGGAUAAUUAAGUGCUCAGUUUUGAGUUGGUUAUUGUUAAGUCAUUAGUACUGUAAAGCUAUAGCUAUAAGUCACCAAGUAAUAAGUAAACAUUGCAUAAUGGAGCAAAUGACUGACAAUGAAACUAAGAAGGGCGACUUAUUUAAAGACAGUAAUGGCGCAACUCUACAGCAGUCAUCAGAACCGGAAGAGGAGCCAAGAAGAAGCCAAAGGACUAGAAAGCUUACUGAAAGGGCUCAAGAACUGCAUGAUACUAAAUCAAAAAAACUGCAAGAUCGUUUUACCAAUACUUACGAUAAAUGGAAAGUGACGGCAAAGCAAGCUAAAAGGGUGAUAAAUGGAACUCCAUCUUCUGAUGUUGUGCAGGAAUUGAUGAGUAAGAUAAGUUGUGCAUCUGCAGAUGUGAAGCACAGUUAUGAAGAACUGCGCAAAUGUGUUCUUCCAGGUAAUGAGAUCCGUCGCAGAGUAGACACCUGUGAUGCUGUAUCUGAAAUAAUCUUGAAAAAUGCAUCCACUUAUCUUCACAACAAGGAAGACUGUGAUGAUCAGACAAAGGAUGUUGUCUGGCCUGAGUCUGGUUCUGUGUUUCUAUCUUCAGUCUCUAAUACUACAAGUAAAGGUUCUCGAAGUUUAAACUCUGCUAGUAGUUCAAGUAUGAAGUCCAAACAGUCAAGCCUUUCCUCUAUUAGAAGACAGGAGGCUGCUGCAGAGCUAGCUGCUACACAGGCUGCUUUAAAGGUUCUGCAAAAAAUAGAAAGUGAACAGCAGGAACUUGAAAAUCUUGAAGAAGAAGAUAGAAGGAAGAUGGCAUUACAAGAGGAAGAAAAUGUGGCAAGAAAGAAAGCACUGGAAGAAAAACGCAGACAAAUAGAACGUCUACAGACUGUUAAGAAGUUAAGUGCGGCAAAGGCACGACUGCAAGUUUAUGAACAAGAAGCAAGUUCAGAUGAAGAAGUUGCAGAGUUACUUCAUAACCAGGCAGUUGAACGACAUCGAUCUUCUGGAGCUAAAAGAAGUUCCUAUGAACAUCCACACCAAGCAGCCAGUGCCACAGCUCUUGCUGAAGCAAUAGCAGAGUCUAUUAAUGUGAGCCGUCUCCCAGUACCUGAACCUUCUGUUUUUACUGGAGACCCACUAAGAUACAAGGACUGGAAGAUGUCAUUUCAAACACUAAUAGGUAGAAAAAACAUCCCUGUAAAUGAAAGAGUUUAUUACCUUCGUAAAUACGUUGGUGGAUCUGCAAGAAAAGCCAUUGAAAGUUAUUUCUUAUUAGGAACCGAUGCAGCUUAUGAUUCAGCAUGGGUUAUCCUGGAAGAAAGAUUUGGAAGCUCCUUUGUGAUAGCUAAAGCUUUCAAAGAUAAGCUUGCAUCGUGGCCUAAAAUAGGACCCAGAGACAGUGUUGAACUGAGGGAUUUUUCAGACUUUCUUAGGGGUUGCCAGGCUGCAAUGUCCCAAAUUAAAAGUCUAGAAGUACUGAACACCUGUGAUGAAAAUCAAAAACUUCUCACAAAGCUUCCUGAUUGGUUAGUUGCUAGUUGGAACAGAAAGGUGAUUGAGCUCGAAGAAAUUUGCAAUAAUUUUCCUACAUUCAGUCAGUUUGUGGAGUUCAUCAAAAGGGAAGCAAAAAUAGCUUGCAAUCCAGUAACUUCUCUUCAUGCCUUGAAAUCUGGUGAUGUUGAAAAAAUAAAGACAACAAAGACACGAAAUGUUGGCGCAAAGGUGUUUGUGAGCAACUCUGAAGAGAGUCCGGAACAUAAAGGCUGCAUCUUCUGUGAAAAACAAAAUCAUGGCAUUCAGAAAUGCUGGAAAUUCAACGAAAAACCAGUUCAGGAACGUCUUAAGUUUGUCCAAACAAAAAAAUUGUGUUUUGGAUGUUUGCAACCAGGACACCACUCUAAGAACUGCAAAAGAAGAAGUAUUUGUGAAACAUGUAAAGGAAAACAUCCAACGUGUCUGCACGAAGAUCGUGAAAGAGCAAAUAGGAAAGAGAAAAGCAAUGAUGAGUAUGCAGAGAAUGUAAAAGUCUCUAAACCCACAAAAUCAAAGGAAAAAACAGAGCACAAUCAUAAUGUUGAACUCUCAGAUGAAGCUACAUCAAACAGAGUAGUGCAAGGCAUGGACGACAUGUACUCUUCUACUGUUGUUCCUGUGUGGUUAUCUACGUCAAGUAACCCAGAGAAUGAAAUUCUCGUUUAUGCUCUACUUGAUAACCAAAGCGAUACGACAUUCAUCAUGCAAGAUAAGGCAGAUGUUCUGGAAACAAAAGGAGAACCUGUGCAGUUAAAACUCUCCACACUUUCAUCCAGAAAUACAAUUAUCCCAAGUCAGAGAUUAGUUGGACUGCAGGUGAGAGGUUUUUAUUCAUCAAAGAAGAUUUCUCUACCUGUAACCUAUUCAAGAGAGUUCAUUCCUGCUAAUCUAAGUCACAUACCGACCCCAAAAACUGCGAGAGCAUGGCCUCAUCUAGAGCAUCUUGCAGAGGAGAUUGCUCCAUUGAUCGAGUGUGAUGUAGGACUACUCAUAGGUUACAACUGUCCACAGGCUUUGUUACCUAGAGAAGUGGUGUCGGGUAAAGAUGACGAACCAUUUGCUCAAAAAACAGAUCUUGGAUGGAGCAUAGUCGGUUGCGUUAGCCCGUGUGUUGAUUAUGGUGAUGCGAUUGGAAGCAGCCAUAAGAUCAUCAUGAAGUCUGUGAAACCCCACUCUCAGACAUCUAAGAACCUCACAACUGAAGUGAAAUACAUUUGUAGGACUCAAGUUAAGGAGUUCAUUUCUCCACCAGAUGUGUUGAGGAUGCUUGAGUCUGACUUCAGUGAGAGAAGAGUUGAAGAUGCAAAUUUAUCUCAGGAAGAUUUGCGGUUCCUAUCUAUCAUGGAAGAAGGAGUCAAAAUUAAAGCAGAUGGUUAUUGUGAAAUGCCACUCCCUUUCAAGAAGGAUCGACCAAAUCUCCCAGAUAAUAAGGUGUGUGCAGUUCACAGACUCCGAUGCUUGAAAAGGAGAUUUGAAAGGGAUAAAAAAUACCAAAAUGAUUACGCAAACUUUAUGAGUCAAAUCAUAGCAAAUGGUGAUGCAGAAAGAGUUCCAGAAGAAGAAAUUAACAAAGGUUCUGUGUGGUACAUUCCUCAUCACGGAGUCUAUCACCCACACAAGCCAGGAAAGAUACGAGUCGUAUUUGACUGCUCUGCAAAGUUCGAAGGUGUGUCAUUAAAUGAUUACUUGCUCAGUGGGCCAGAAUUAACGAACAGUCUGAUAGGUGUUCUCUGCCGUUUUCGUAAAGGACAAGUUGGCAUAAUGUGCGAUAUUGAGCGCAUGUUCCAUCAAUUUCAUGUUAAAACAGAGGAUCAAGACUACUUGAGAUUUCUCUGGUGGGAUGAUGGAAACAUUCAGGCUCAACCAUCCAUCUAUCGUAUGCGAGUUCAUCUAUUUGGAGCUGUAUCAUCGCCAGGCUGCGCAAAUUUUGGGUUGAAACAUGUUGCGGCCCAAGGUCAAGGUCAAUACAGUGAAACAACCAUCCAGUUCAUUGAACGAAAUUUUUACGUGGAUGAUGGACUGACAAGUGUUGCAACCAAAGAUGAAGCUAUAAGGUUGGUAAAGGAAGCAAGACAACUUUGUAGUUCUGGCAAUCUACGACUUCACAAGUUUGUUUCCAACAACCAAGAUGUACUUGCAUCCAUUCCAGAAGAUGACUGCGCAGAUUCAGUAAGAAAUCGUGACAUGACUCUUGGAGAGUCACACAUAGAGAGAGCUUUGGGAAUUAAAUGGUGUGUUGUUUCGGACCAGUUCCAUUUCAGAGUGAUUGUGGAUGAACGCCCACUUUCUAGAAGAGGUGUUUUAUCAACAGUGGCAUCCAUCUAUGACCCUCUUGGGUUUGUAGCACCAUUUAUUCUGGUUGGGAAGCAAAUACUUCAAGAGAUGUGUCGAGAGAAGAUUGGAUGGGACGAGCCAUUAUCUGAAGAUCUCAGACCACGAUGGGAGUCUUGGCUGUUGGACUUAAAGAAUCUAUCCGACAUCAAAAUUCAAAGGUGUUAUCUCCCAAAGGAUUUCAAGGAAGUCGAAAGAUAUGAGUUGCAUCAUUUCUCAGAUGCAAGCGUUAAAGGAUACGGUGAAUGUUCUUACUUGAGAGCAAUCAGUAUAUCGAACCAAGUCUACUGUUCUUUAGUUAUUGGUAAGGCCAGGGUGACCCCUACAAAGGUCACCACAGUACCCAGACUUGAGCUUUCAGCAGCUGUUAUUGCUGUUCGAACAAGCAACCUGCUUAAAAAGGAGUUGGAUGUUCAAGCCCAAGAAUUCUUCUGGACUGAUUCAAAGGUCGUUCUUGGAUACAUUAACAACGAUGCUAGACGAUUUCACAUAUUUGUGGCAAAUCGCAUUCAGCGCAUACAAGAAGGUUCCAAUCCGGAUCAAUGGAGAUAUGUGACCUCUGAAGAUAACCCCGCGGAUCAUUCAUCAAGAGGUCUGACAGUUAAAGGACUGGUUACUUCCAAUUGGUUCACUGGUCCAGAUUUUCUCUGGCAUAAUGAACUUCCUGCUAAUACUGUUAAGGUGGGAGAAUUGGAAGCUGAAAAUCCAGAACUACGAAAAACUUUUGUACAUAAGACCCUAACGACAGAAGAAUCUUUGCUCAGUCGUUUCUUAAGGUUCUCAAAAUGGACAAGACUGGUUAAAGCCAUUGCACGACUCAUACGAUGUGUCAAAGAGGUCAAGGGUUCACUCUCCAGAACCAACAAAGUCACCAGUCUUGAGGAGAGGAAAGAGGCAGAGUUUUUCAUCAUAGCUACAGUCCAAAGGGCAGUAUUUUCUGAAGAAAUCCAAGACCUAAGCUCCAAAAGGGAGAUAACAAAGAACAGUGCGAAGAGGCUGCAUAAACUGAAUCCUUUCUUAGAUGAAAAGGGUGUGCUCAGAGUAGGAGGUCGGCUGGAACGUUCUUCUUUGCACACAUACAUUAAACAUCCAGCAAUCUUGCCAAGCAAAACCCAUAUAUCACAGUUGCUCAUUGACCACUUCCAUCAAAGGGUUCAUCAUCAGGGUCGUGGGAUGACCAUGAACGAGCUCCGAUCAAACGGCAUCUGGAUAUUGGGAUGCAGUCACGCAGUGUCUUCUUACAUUUACAAGUGUGUGAAAUGUAGAAAGUUCAGAAGAAAUACUGAAAUACAAAGAAUGGCAGAUUUACCGUGUGAAAGAGUGGAAGCAUCACCUCCCUUUACCUAUUGUGGAGUGGAUUGCUUCGGUCCAUUUUACAUUAAGGAGGGAAGAAAGGAACUUAAACGCUACGGUCUGUUAUUCACAUGCCUGUGCUCGCGUGCUGUGCACAUAGAGCUACUUGAUGACAUGACAUCUGACGCUUUUAUUAAUAGUCUUCGAACAUUGAUUGCCAUACGUGGAAAUGUUCGGCAGCUUUGGUCAGAUCAAGGAACCAACUUUGUUGGAGCAAGACGAGAGUUCUUGGAAUCCGUAAAGGAAAUGGACCAAGAAAAUCUAAAACAAUUAGGUUGUGAAUUUGUCAUGAACCCACCAUCUGCUAGCCAUAUGGGUGGAGCCUGGGAAAGGCAGAUUAGGACAAUAAGAAGUGUGUUGACAUCCAUUUUGGAUCAUUCAUCCAAAAGACUUGACAUUUCAUCUUUACGUACAUACCUUUAUGAGGUCAUGGCGAUCAUAAAUAGUAGGCCCUUAACAACUCACCUGCUCAGUGAUCCCUCUGCUCCACAGCCUCUUACACCGAAUCAUAUCCUGACCAUGAAGUCUUCAGUGGUUUUACCACCACCUGGUGAGUUUGUGAAAGAAGACCUUUAUCUUCGCAAAAGAUGGCGUAAGGUACAAUAUUUGGCCAAUGAAUUUUGGACCAGAUGGAAAAGGGAAUACCUGCUGAAUCUUCAGCAAAGAAACAAAUGGUACAAGACACAGAGAAAUGCCAAGAUCAAUGACAUUGUGAUUCUGAUGGAUAAUAGUCUACCCAGAAAUGAGUGGAGACUGGCCAAGGUCACUAAGGUGUUCCCUAGUGAAGAUGGAGUCAUUAGGAAACUCGAAUUGUUGAUGAGUGAUGCAACACUUGACGACCAAGGAAAAAGAGUUAACAAGCCAGUAUAUCUUGAGAGACCCAUCCACAAAACAGUUACUUUAGUCGAAGCUGAGUAGCUCAGUACUGUGAUACAUGACUUGUUGGAUUACAGAUAUUUGUUGUUUUUCUUUGUAUUCAGGUGUAGUAGGAAAUCAUCUGUGAUUUGGUGGGAGUGUGGCUGCCAUCAGCAGCAGUUUAUACAGUUUGGGUUAAUUUCAUGAUUCUAAUUUGGUGUAGAUAAGUUAAAGUGUGCAAAUUGUUCCGAAGCGGAACCAAUGUUUAAUGUGAUGUUUCAUUCCGGGACUUUUUAUGGUGACACGCAGCACUCUGUGUAAGGCAGCAUGCUUCUUUUUUGCUGUUAGUUGAUGGAGAGGUUUCGGUGAGGCAUUAAGGCUCGUGUAGCUGAUUACAAGAAGACGUUACACAGAGUUUUUUGUAUUAACCCUUCCAGGUUGAAGCGGCCAAUGAGUUCUCACGGCAUAGUUAUUAAACGCCAGUAACAAAGAAGAACGCCUUGUGUCCGUUUUCUGC
RNA transcript from Xiphophorus maculatus (southern platyfish), 7390 nucleotides. RefSeq lists it as uncharacterized. The record is from RefSeq and is a predicted model, not a curated record. Lineage: Eukaryota; Metazoa; Chordata; Actinopteri; Cyprinodontiformes; Poeciliidae. The transcript is spliced from 2 exons.